CCUACGGGUGGCAGCAGUGAGGAAUAUUGAUCAAUGGGCGUAAGCCUGAACCAGCCAAGUCGCGUGAGGGAUGAAGGUUCUAUGGAUCGUAAACCUCUUUUAUAAGGGAAUAAAGUGUGGGACGUGUCCUGUUUUGUAUGUACCUUAUGAAUAAGGAUCGGCUAACUCCGUGCCAGCAGCCGCGGUAAUACGGAGGAUCCUAGCGUUAUCCGGAUUUAUUGGGUUUAAUGGGUGCGUAGGCGGCCUUUUACGUCAGCGGUGAAAGUCUGUGGCUCAACCAUAGAAUUGCCGUUGAAACUGGGAGGCUUGAGUAUGUUUGAGGCAGGCGGAAUGCGGGGUGUAGCGGUGACAUGCUUAGAGAUCACGCAGAACCCCGAUGGCGAAGGCAGCCUGCCAAGCCAUGACUGACGCUGAUGCACGAAAGCGUGGGGAUCAAACAGGAUUAGAUACCCCUGUAGUC
Molecule: ribosomal RNA, 460 nt
Filed under: uncultured bacterium
Lineage: Bacteria
Description: partial 16S ribosomal RNA
Rfam family: Bacterial small subunit ribosomal RNA
Source: RNAcentral